UGUUGCCCGCGGUCUCGAAAGACUCCAUUAAUGACAAAUGCGCUGCCUGUGGCCUCGGCUACUCCGGAGGCUGAGGCGGGAGCAGCGCUUGAACCCGGGAGCUCUGCGCUGUAUGCGCUGUGCCCAUUACGCGGCGACACCGAGUUCCGCAUCGGUGUGGUGACUUCCCGGGAGCAGGAACCACCAGGUUCCCCAAGGAGGGGGGAACCAAGCAGGGCACAACUCCUGUGCUGCUCGGUAGUGGGAUCGCGCCUUAUAUUCUCAAGCAAAAGAGUUUGAAGACCAGAGCUUUAGGGCCUCACUACUCAAAUGGUGGUCCAGCAACAAGCAGCAUCAGCGUCACCUGGGAGUGUGUUAGAAAUGCCACCAUCAUCAGCGUGAAACCAACAGUGAUCUGUCUAACCCCAAAGAUGCCAAAGAAGUACUUUGGACAUCUGGGAAUGUGUUUACACAGGACAGACAAGGCACCCAGCUGCUGCUUCCCUGAUCCCAGCUAAACCGUUUACCAAGAGUCAAGAAGUGUCUGGAGAGCUGGAGGCCAGAGCCAUAGGAGGGGACAGACAUGAAAAAGGCAAAAUCGGCUGGGCACAGUGGCUCAUGCCUGUAAUCCCAGCACUUUGGGAGGCCGAGGCAGCCGGAUCACGAGG
Non-coding RNA from Macaca mulatta (Rhesus monkey), 647 nucleotides. The record is from RefSeq and is a predicted model, not a curated record. NCBI's taxonomy places the organism in Eukaryota, Metazoa, Chordata, Mammalia, Primates, Cercopithecidae.